This 261-nucleotide ribosomal RNA is filed under the name uncultured archaeon. RNAcentral describes it as "partial 16S ribosomal RNA". It matches the Rfam family "Archaeal small subunit ribosomal RNA", at positions 748 to 1008 of the family's 1478-position model. The record is from RNAcentral.
AGGGUGUAAACGCUGCAGACUUGGUGUUGGAGGCCCUUUGGGGGCAUUCAGUGCCGGAGAGAAGUUGUUAAGUCUGCUACUUGGGGAGUACGUCCGCAAGGAUGAAACUUAAAGGAAUUGGCGGGGGAGCACCGCAACGGGAGGAGUGUGCGGUUUAAUUGGAUUCAACACCGUAAAACUCACCAGGGAAGACUGUUACAUGAAGGCCGAGAUGAAGACUCUGCUAGAUUUUCAGAGAGGAGGUGCAUGGCGUCAGUGACU